RNAcentral lists this long non-coding RNA (542 nucleotides) under Salvia miltiorrhiza (redroot sage). RNAcentral describes it as "long non-coding RNA (SMIL_LNC008736)". Lineage: Eukaryota; Viridiplantae; Streptophyta; Magnoliopsida; Lamiales; Lamiaceae. The record is from RNAcentral.
UGGAAGUGGACGAUUUGCGCCGAUCUGCGCCGCGACAAGAAUGAGUUCAGCAAUUCAAUUUGCGCCUAAUAUCUAGAUGCACAAAUGCCCAAUAUGUGGCCCUAAUUUCAGAAUCUCGCGUGAAACAGAUGGAGCUGCUAAAUUUUUUUGAAAUCAAAGCAGUAAAAUAAACUUCCAAUUUGCGAAUCGAAACAUGUAAAUAUGGGGGAACCCUAUCUCUCAAAUCCGAAAGGAAAUCACAAAAAAUAGGAAAGAAAGAAUAUGAAUCGGUGAAUCCAAACCCAUUUUUAAAGUUUGGGUUCUUACCGUUCUGCGUCAAUUCUUCGAUCUGCUUCUUGGUCGUCGCGAGCUCUACAAAUUAGCAAAGGUGAAGAAAUACGCAGCUGAAUUUUUGACCUAGAAACGAGUUUUGAAUAAAAAAGUCGGAGGGUAAUUAAGGCAGCGUAAAUCUUUUCCUGAAGUCUGGAAGUGGUAUCAGAGGGGGGAGUCGCGAGACGUUUUAAGGGGUGAACAGUACUUUUUCACCGGGCCAUGCCUUUUUU